Molecule: ribosomal RNA, 280 nt
Filed under: uncultured Parvimonas sp.
Lineage: Bacteria; Bacillati; Bacillota; Tissierellia; Tissierellales; Peptoniphilaceae
Description: partial 16S ribosomal RNA
Rfam family: Bacterial small subunit ribosomal RNA
Source: RNAcentral
UAGAAAGGUAACGAAAGUGGCGAACGGGUGAGUAACACGUGAGCAACCUGCCUUACACAGGGGGAUAGCCAUUGGAAACGGUGAUUAAUACCCCAUAAGACCACAAUACCGCAUGGUAAAAAGGGGUAAAAAGGGAUACCGGUGUAAGAUGGGCUCGCGUCUGAUUAGCUAGUUGGUGGGGUAAAGGCCUACCAAGGCGACGAUCAGUAGCCGGUCUGAGAGGAUGAACGGCCACAUUGGAACUGAGACACGGUCCAAACUCCUACGGGAGGCAGCAGCC